GACGAACGCUGGCGGCGUGCUUAACACAUGCAAGUCGAACGGAAAGGCCCUGCUUUUGUGGGGUGCUCGAGUGGCGAACGGGUGAGUAACACGUGAGUAACCUGCCCUUGACUUUGGGAUAACUUCAGGAAACUGGGGCUAAUACCGGAUAGGAUCUCCUGCUGCAUGGUGGGGGUUGGAAAGUUUCGGCGGUUGGGGAUGGACUCGCGGCUUAUCAGCUUGUUGGUGGGGUAGUGGCUUACCAAGGCUUUGACGGGUAGCCGGCCUGAGAGGGUGACCGGCCACAUUGGGACUGAGAUACGGCCCAGACUCCUACGGGAGGCAGCAGUGGGGAAUAUUGCACAAUGGGCGGAAGCCUGAUGCAGAAACGCCGCGUGCGGGAUGACGGCCUUCGGGUUGUAAACCGCUUUCGCAUGUGACGAAGCGUGAGUGACGGUAAUGGGUAAAGAAGCACCGGCUAACUACGUG
Molecule: ribosomal RNA, 468 nt
Filed under: uncultured bacterium
Lineage: Bacteria
Description: partial 16S ribosomal RNA
Rfam family: Bacterial small subunit ribosomal RNA
Source: RNAcentral